AACGAACGCUGGCGGCGCGUCUUAACCAUGCAAGUCGAGCGGCAGGCAGCAAUGCCGAGAGCGGCGGACUGGUGAGUAACACGUGGAUAACGUACCCCGAUGCCCGGGACAGCCUGUAGAAAUAGAGGGUAAUACCGGAUAGGUCACCGUUUUUGUAAGGAAGACGGCGGGAAAGGAGCUUCGGCUCCGCGCUGGGAUCGGUCUGCGGCCCAUCAAGCUCGUUGGUGAGGUAAGAGCUCACCAAGGCGAGGACGGGUAUCCGGCCUGAGAGGGCGGACGGACACAUUGGGACUGAGAUACGGCCCAGACUCCUACGGGAGGCAGCAGUAAGAAUAUUCCGCAAUGGGGGGAACCCUGACGGAGCGACGCCGCGUGAACGAAGAAGGCCGGAAGGUUGUAAAGUUCUUUUCUGUUCGAGGAAUAAGUGUCGGAGGAAAUGC
Molecule: ribosomal RNA, 440 nt
Filed under: Treponema sp. oral taxon 268
Lineage: Bacteria; Pseudomonadati; Spirochaetota; Spirochaetia; Treponematales; Treponemataceae
Description: bacterial SSU rRNA
Rfam family: Bacterial small subunit ribosomal RNA
Source: RNAcentral